Molecule: RNA transcript, 2569 nt
Organism: Dunckerocampus dactyliophorus (ringed pipefish)
Lineage: Eukaryota; Metazoa; Chordata; Actinopteri; Syngnathiformes; Syngnathidae
Exons: 4
Source: RefSeq, a predicted model, not a curated record
CUCCGUUACAUGUUCAUUUUCUCAGUUUUUGGACAAAAACCUCAAAGACCGACUGCUUGAGCGUCAUCACAGCCACUAGGGGGCAUAUUUGCGUACGAGGUGAGAAUUGCUAUGAUGUCCUGCGAUGCCCGACCAGCAUUCUCGUCCUCUGUUCAUUUAAGUCUUUGUUUGGCACUUCUGCAUUUCUCUGCACUCUCUCGCAUUUUGGAGGGCAUAGCAAAUUCUAACGUUUAAGGUACCAGGUUGCUAACGUUAGCUAACAUGCUAACGGGACAUGGGUUAGUCGUAGAACUGUAAGCCAUUCAAUUGAGUUGGAAUUGUCAUCGUUGAAGUCCUCACCUGUAAUGUUUUUCACUGCUGUCAUCAAUGUAGACAAAUAAUAUAAAAUAUAUUCUCCUCUUUCCUCUCCGAUGGCAGUGAACUUUGCGGGCGGUCACGACGAGAAUCUAACGUCUUCCUCGAGAAUAACCGGAAGUGGAUAUGAUGGAAAAUUUUACUGACUCAGUUACAUAAAAUUGACCCUGUGAUAUUGAUAUAUGUGGAAUGUAGCACAAUAUUUGCCACUGUACUUAUUUGAAUAUAUGCAUUGUUCGUCACUAGAAGAGGCGGAACAUUGAUCGUGACGUCACGAAGCACCGGAAUACCAGGACUUGGCAAAUUCGAACCAGCGUCACGUGAUUGGCGGAAGCAGCCAAGUGCGUUUGUGUUUGUUCUUUUACCAACAGUUUCGAUAAGUAAACAUUUCUAGCAGGGGUGGGCUAUACUGAAAAUUGUGGUUACGUUAUCUUAUUAUGUUAAUGUUAAGUUUUAUUAUUAUGUUAUGUUGAUAUUAUUAUGUCGCAGCAGUCCUUGCUUGAGUACUCGGCUCGUUGGUCUUCUUAUUACAUUAUUUGCUGGAGGAAUAAGCACUCAUCAGUCAACUGGAACGAAACACUUCGUUAUUCUUAACAAAGAAACACUUGUCAUAGGGAAAACAAUCAAGUCAACACUGCCAACUAGUGCUCAUCACCGGUAUAGUAUACAAUAUGAGCGCACACGAAUGAUGCGCCUCAGUACGAGCACUUUUUCAAGAUUGUUCAAGCCCAUUAAAUGAUUGUGUGAUUUUGUAUCACAUUCUUCAAUCAUGAUUAUAAUCACAAUAAAACACUGGACACAUUUUAGGCAAAAAAAAUUUUUUUGUCAACAAACUUAUUUGUGAACAAUUUAACAAUGUCAUAUAAAAGUAUAAACAGAAGACUGCAUAUAAGAAGAAUGAGUGUAGAUCUGACACUGACACUACCUUUGGUGUAGAUGCUGAUAUUUGAAUUGAUUCGCUCACCCAAAAAGGAAACUUUUUAUUACUUUAUCUUACUCUUAAUUGGACAAUGAACAUUUCUUCAAAAAUGGCCAAAAAAACAAAAGCAAUCAUUGAUUUUUGUAUAUGUCAUAGGAGAGAGGUAUUGGUAUAACAAGCCUGUUAGCUGUAGCAGUAACAUAGGUAGAAUCCACGUUAUUGCUAUAUUGACCAUGUUUUCUAGCUGCGUUUGUGUUAUUUUCCAACGAUUGACCAGAACAGUUAACGUCAUUCAGGCUAUGCAAACAAACACAAGGUCAAAAAUACUGUGGACUUGUUUCCACACACACACACACACGCACGCACACACUCUUUCCGUUUGCUCCAGCCAUGAUCCUGCUGGGCCCCAGCCUGUGUCUUCCGUCGCAGGCCACCGUCCAGGAGCUCUUCCUCAUCGCCCGAGACGCCAAUACCAUCCCGGACAUCUCCUUGGAUCCUGUUCUCACCACCUUCCUGUCGCUGGACUCGGCGGCGGCACUGCAGCACCAGUACACCUUCUUGCAACGGGGCAUGAGCGAUGAGCAGCAGGAGGAGUUCGGCCUCCGCCUGAACAGAGAGCUGGGGGGCGGCAAGGUCAACCGCGGGGGGGUCGGCGUUGUCGCUCUGGCCCUGUCUUUGCUGCUGGACCACAUUGCCCAGCAGGUCCGACGCAACAACUCAUCAACAGAAGCCAACCGAUCGUCCCUGACAACCAAGAAGAUUUUUGGCAUCAGUGCUUCUUCAAGAAUCGGCCUGAUUACCCAAAACUAUCUCAGCCUAGUCCCUGGCAUUGCCAACGACCACGACACCAUGGCUGAGACCACAGAGAUCUACGACAACUGGCUCAAACUGGAGCUGCUGGACCAUUUCCAGAGGAUGACCUCCAAGAAGAGGAUGAGCUCCGUGUCCAUGCAGCAGUGGUUGACUGGAGCUGCUGUUCACCUACACAUGAGGAUCCACCAGGUUUCAUCAGUUAAUGCUCAAAGACGAGAUAGGACAGCUCUAAACAGACAGUGUGCACCAAAAAAUGCACACUGAGCUGGGAAGCCAAGGAAAGCGGGAACGACUGGGAAAGAUGUGGGUUUUGUAAACCAAGGUGUACAUACAUGUUCGGCUUCACUCUGUGCCACCAGGCUCAGCGGAGUCCCUUCGUUUGUCUUAUAAGACAGCAUUUAAUCGUCUGGUGCAGGGCUACACGGUCUACCUUCACAGGAACAUUCAAGAGACUGCACCUUCCACACCACAGAAUCUGAGAAA